GACGAACGCUGGCGGCGUGCUUAACACAUGCAAGUCGAACGGAAAGGCCCUGCUUUUGUGGGGUGCUCGAGUGGCGAACGGGUGAGUAACACGUGAGUAACCUGCCCUUGACUUUGGGAUAACUUCAGGAAACUGGGGCUAAUACCGGAUAGGAGCUCCUGCUGCAUUGUGGGGGUUGGAAAGUUUCGGCGGUUGGGGAUGGACUCGCGGCUUAUCAGCUUGUUGGUUGGGUAGGGGCUUACCAAGGCUUUGACGGGUAGCCGGCCUGAGAGGGUGACCGGCCACAUUGGGACUGAGAUACGGCCCAGACUGCUACGGGAGGCAGCAGUGGGGAAUAUUGCACAAUGGGCGGAAGCCUGAUGCAGCAACGCCGCGUGCGGGAUGACGGCCUUCGGGUUGUAAACCGCUUUAGCCUGUGACGAAGCGUGAGUGACGGUAAUGGGUAAAGAAGCACCGGCUAACUACGUG
This 468-nucleotide ribosomal RNA is filed under the name uncultured bacterium. Its description in RNAcentral is "partial 16S ribosomal RNA". It matches the Rfam family "Bacterial small subunit ribosomal RNA", at positions 28 to 507 of the family's 1533-position model. The record is from RNAcentral.